GCCUUGAGCGAGAUAUAUUAAAAAAAGCAACAGCGUAUUUUGCACAGGAGUCGCUGAAAAAUACGCGUUAAUCGAACAAUGGCGACAACAAUUUCCCAUUGAAGCGAUGUGUCAGGUAUUUGGUGUAUCCAGGAGCGGUUAUUACAACUGGGUACAGCAUGAACCCUCAGACAGAAAACAAAGUGAUGAGCGGCUAAAACUGGAGAUUAAGGUGGCACAUAUCCGCACUCGCGAAACAUAUGGAACCCGGCGGCUCCAGACGGAGCUGGCAGAGAAUGGCAUCAUCGUUGGUCGUGACCGACUGGCACGUCUUCGUAAGGAGCUAAGGCUACGCUGUAAGCAGAAACGCAAGUUCAGAGCGACUACGAACUCGAACC
Molecule: unclassified non-coding RNA, 377 nt
Filed under: Escherichia coli CFT073
Lineage: Bacteria; Pseudomonadati; Pseudomonadota; Gammaproteobacteria; Enterobacterales; Enterobacteriaceae
Description: RNase P, RNA component
Source: RNAcentral